RNAcentral lists this ribosomal RNA (448 nucleotides) under uncultured bacterium. RNAcentral's name for it is "partial 16S ribosomal RNA". It matches the Rfam family "Bacterial small subunit ribosomal RNA", at positions 29 to 523 of the family's 1533-position model. The record is from RNAcentral.
AACGAACGCUGGCGGCAGGCCUAACACAUGCAAGUCGAGCGAACCCUUCGGGGUUAGCGGCGGACGGGUUAGUAACGCGUGGGAAUAUACCCAAAGGUACGGAAUAGCCUCGGGAAACUGAGAGUAAUACCGUAUGUGCCCCUCGGGGGAAAGAUUUAUCGCCUUUGGAUUAGCCCGCAUUGGAUUAGGUAGUUGGUGGGGUAAUGGCCUACCAAGCCGACGAUCCAUAGCUGGUUUGAGAGGAUGAUCAGCAACACUGGACUGAGACACGGCCCAGACUCCUACGGGAGGCAGCAGUGGGGAAUCUUAGACAAUGGGGGAAACCCUGAUCUAGCCAUGCCGCGUGGACGAUGAAGGCCUUAGGGUUGUAAAGUCCUUUCAGCUGGGAAGAUAAUGACGGUACCAGCAGAAGAAGCCCCGGCUAACUCCGUGCCAGCAGCCGCGGUAA